RNAcentral lists this ribosomal RNA (627 nucleotides) under Neobacillus cucumis. RNAcentral describes it as "partial 23S ribosomal RNA". It matches the Rfam family "Bacterial large subunit ribosomal RNA", at positions 2189 to 2815 of the family's 2925-position model. The record is from RNAcentral. Lineage: Bacteria; Bacillati; Bacillota; Bacilli; Caryophanales; Bacillaceae.
UCGGUGGGAUACUACCCUGGCUGUAUUGAAAUUCUAACCCGCACCCCUUAUCGGGGUGGGAGACAGUGUCAGGUGGGCAGUUUGACUGGGGCGGUCGCCUCCUAAAGAGUAACGGAGGCGCCCAAAGGUUCCCUCAGAAUGGUUGGAAAUCAUUCGUAGAGUGUAAAGGCACAAGGGAGCUUGACUGCGAGACCUACAAGUCGAGCAGGGACGAAAGUCGGGCUUAGUGAUCCGGUGGUUCCGCAUGGAAGGGCCAUCGCUCAACGGAUAAAAGCUACCCCGGGGAUAACAGGCUUAUCUCCCCCAAGAGUCCACAUCGACGGGGAGGUUUGGCACCUCGAUGUCGGCUCAUCGCAUCCUGGGGCUGUAGUCGGUCCCAAGGGUUGGGCUGUUCGCCCAUUAAAGCGGUACGCGAGCUGGGUUCAGAACGUCGUGAGACAGUUCGGUCCCUAUCCGUCGUGGGCGCAGGAAAUUUGAGAGGAGCUGUCCUUAGUACGAGAGGACCGGGAUGGACGCACCGCUGGUGUACCAGUUGUCUUGCCAAAGGCAUCGCUGGGUAGCUAUGUGCGGACGGGAUAAGUGCUGAAAGCAUCUAAGCAUGAAGCCCCCCUCAAGAUGAGAUUUCCC